Molecule: long non-coding RNA, 1451 nt
Filed under: Salmo salar (Atlantic salmon)
Lineage: Eukaryota; Metazoa; Chordata; Actinopteri; Salmoniformes; Salmonidae
Description: lncRNA (ENSSSAG00000113697.1)
Source: RNAcentral
UGUAGACUGUCUAACUAAAUGUACCGGGCUCAGUUUGGUUUGUACGAGGGCUGUAAUACCGAUUUAAACAUGAUUUAUUAUUGUCCGAUAUAAAAUGUGCUGGUUGGCUAGGUGUGUAUCUACUGAGACCGUUGGUCCGAUACUGUCCAAGCUGUCACAGAGAGGGGAACCAUGGAAACAGGUUCUGGGUGCUGUUUAUCUCAGAAUACCCAGGAGUCAGAUGUUGAGCGCUUGACUUUCCUCCCGUUGCUCCCCACCUGAUCAAUCCACUCGUUACCAAAGCCUACAAGUUAUUUCCAGAGAACCUGAUGUAUAUUAUAACUCAGUAUGAACCCUAAUAAAGCUUUAUACCUGAUGGAUGAUGAUGAUGAUGAUGGAUCUCUGGCAUUGAGGUGAAUCUGUUGCUCCGAUCUGAUAAAAGACUCAUUAUAAAAGAGACUGAGUGUUUUUAAAAACCGCACCAGCAUGCUUCAGGACGUUCUAGAGCCAGACUUCAGGAAGUUCUAGAAUCAGGCUUCAGGAAGUUCUAGAACAAGGUUUGAGGAUGUUGUAGAACCAGGCUUCAGGACGUUCUAGAACCAGGUUUGAGGAUGUUGUAGAACCAGGCUUCAGGAUGAUCUAGAACUAGGCUUAAGGAAGUUCUAGAACCAGGCUUCAGGACGUUAUAGAACCAGGUUUGAGGAUGUUGUAGAACCAGGCUUCAGGAUGAUCUAGAACCAGGCUAAAGGAUGUUCUAGAACCAGGCUUGAGGAUGUUGUAGAACCAGGCUUCAGGAUGUUGUAGAACCAGGCUUCAGGACGUUGUAGAACCAGGCUUCAGGAACGUUGUAGAACCGGGCUUCAGGACGUUGUAGAACCAGGCUUUAGGACGUUCUAGAACCAGGCUUCAGGAAGUUCUACAACCAGGCUUCAGGACGUUAUAGAACCAGGCUUCAGGAUGUUCUAGAACCAGGCUAAAGGAUGUUCUAGAACCAGGCUUGAGGAUGUUGUAGAACCAGGCUUCAGGAUGUUCUAGAACCAGGCUUCAGGAUGUUGUAGAACCAGGCUUCAGGACGUUCUAGAACCAGGCUUCAGGAUGUUCUAGAACCAGGCUUCAGGAAGUUCUAGAACCAGGCUUCAGGAAGUUCUAGAACCAGGCUUCAGGACGUUCUAGAACCAGGCUUCAGGACGUUUAAGCUGUGAUGGAACCUGACCUUCAAUCUAUCAGAAACCUUGUCGUUUUAACUCUUGAGAGACUGGAGGAAGAGGAGGAGGAGGAGGAAGAGGAGGAAGAGAAGGGUGUGUUUUCUAGCUGUCAAUAGACAAGCUAACUGUCUGCAAUAAUUUCCCUCUGAUGCUCCCAGAACUGAGAGAGAGGGUUUCCAAGGCUGGUAUACAACUGUACUUUUGACAUUGUUUUUUAAUUGCUGAUUAUUAUAAUGAUCAAACAUUAUCCUGAAGGAUGUUCCCCCU